This 92-nucleotide transfer RNA is filed under the name Actinomycetota bacterium. RNAcentral's name for it is "tRNA-Ser". It matches the Rfam family "tRNA". Rfam says of the family: Transfer RNA (tRNA) molecules are approximately 80 nucleotides in length. Lineage: Bacteria; Bacillati; Actinomycetota. The record is from RNAcentral.
GGAGGCUUCGCCUAGUCCGGUCUAUGGCGCCGCACUGCUAAUGCGGUUAGGGGUUUAUAGCUCCUUCCCGGGUUCGAAUCCCGGAGCCUCCG